GUGUCUGACGUGCAUGCGAAGUAGAGGAUCUGCACAUCCAGACCUCCAUAAAAAUUUAUAUCAGAUAAUUUGAUAUUUGAUCUCUAGUUCUACUUUUAAUUAGAUAAAAAUUUGAUUCUUAAUCAUGUAGAUGAAUAAAAAAAUUUUUAGAUGCAACCUGGGCCUUUCGAGGAGAAACAGUUUCUUUCCCUUCAAUUAGUAUCAGAGCAGGCCUAAAAUAUAUACAUACAUAAU
This 234-nucleotide long non-coding RNA is filed under the name Elaeis guineensis (African oil palm). Its description in RNAcentral is "long non-coding RNA (EGUI_LNC051509)". Lineage: Eukaryota; Viridiplantae; Streptophyta; Magnoliopsida; Arecales; Arecaceae. The record is from RNAcentral.